RNAcentral lists this unclassified non-coding RNA (361 nucleotides) under uncultured bacterium. RNAcentral describes it as "contains 16S-23S intergenic spacer region". The record is from RNAcentral.
UCCCCCGUGAGGGGGCAGUCUCGCCUGAUACUUAUAACAGACAACGAGGGUUGCGUUCGUUACCCCACUGAAGGGAACAGUUCAAACCACGAACUGACGACAGCCAUGCAUCACCUGUCCAGCACCCUCGAAGGCUACUACGUUUCCGCAGUAUGCAGCUGGAUUUCUAACCUUGGUAAGGUUCUUCGUUUAGCGACGAAUUAAGCCACACGCUCCACCGCUUGUGCGAGCCCCCGUCUAUUUCUUUGAGUUUUAGCCUUGCGGCCGUACUACCCAGGCGGAUCGCUUAACGCGUUAGCUUCGUCUCCCAGAGGGUCGAUACUCCAAGAAACCAGCGAUCAUCGUUUAGGGCUAGGACUAC